This 601-nucleotide ribosomal RNA is filed under the name uncultured Saprospiraceae bacterium. RNAcentral describes it as "bacterial SSU rRNA". It matches the Rfam family "Bacterial small subunit ribosomal RNA", at positions 301 to 916 of the family's 1533-position model. The record is from RNAcentral. Lineage: Bacteria; Pseudomonadati; Bacteroidota; Saprospiria; Saprospirales; Saprospiraceae.
CGGGUCCCUGCAGUCGACGAUUCUACGGGAGGCAGCAGUAAGGAAUAUUGGUCAAUGGGCGAAAGCCUGAACCAGCCAUGCCGCGUGUGUGAUGAAUGCCCUUUGGGUUGUAAAGCACUUUUGUCUGGGAAGAAUGGUCGCCAUUUAUGGUGGAAGAGACGGUACCAGAAGAAUAAGCACCGGCUAACUCCGUGCCAGCAGCCGCGGUAAUACGGAGGGUGCAAGCGUUAUCCGGAAUCACUGGGUUUAAAGGGUACGUAGGCUGUAAUAUAAGUCAGACGUCAAAGGCUGUGGCUAAACCAUAGUACGCGUUUGAAACUAUAUCACUUGAAUAUGUUCGAGGUGUACGGAAUGCGUCAUGUAGCGGUGAAAUGCAUAGAUAUGACGUAGAACACCAAUUGCGAAGGCAGUGCACUAGGGCAUUAUUGACGCUGAGGUACGAAAGCGUGGGUAGCGAACAGGAUUAGAUACCCUGGUAGUCCACACCGUAAACGAUGAAUGCCAGUCGUCGGGUAGCAUGCUGCUCGGUGACACACCUAACGGAUUAAGCAUUCCGCCUGGGGAGUACGGUCGCAAGAUUAAAACUCAAAGGAAUUGACGG